This is a long non-coding RNA of Monomorium pharaonis (pharaoh ant), 1710 nucleotides long. RefSeq lists it as uncharacterized. NCBI's taxonomy places the organism in Eukaryota, Metazoa, Arthropoda, Insecta, Hymenoptera, Formicidae. The transcript has 3 exons. The record is from RefSeq and is a predicted model, not a curated record.
GACGUAUACUAUAUAUAAAUAAUAGAUAAAUACAUAAAUUUUUCUCUUUUGUCUCCCCUCCCGCUCGUUGAAAAUUGGCGCGAAAAUCGCGUGAGAUUAUCGUCGCGUCGUGUGCAGAGGGACGGCCAUGUUGUGACGUGGUUAGUGCACAACUUCAGGCUGUACUUGACCGUCGCUCGCGUUCGCGUCGUGUCGCGGUCCGUCUCCGUUCGACACGCAGUUAUCCCUUCGCAUCACGCGUUUCUUGGCGAUUUGCGAGCUCGCGGUCACCGCGUCCUCUCGUCUGGAUCGCUCGCAAACGUCAUCGGGGACACAAAGCGUCGCGAUUCGUCGACGGGAGUGUCGUCGCGGGACGCCCGGUGUCCGGCGUACGUGACGAAGAGUUUCGUCUCGUCUCGUUAGUGCCGCGAGGUGAGAUCUUGCGUUCCCCGCGUUCUCUCGUCGCUCGAGAGCGAGUUUCCCCGCGAGUUUCCCCAUCGCCGCGGGGAUGUCGAACCGAGCCGACGCCGUUAAUCGCCGGGCAAAGUGGUCGCGUUCCUCGUGCCCCUCUCCCCUCCCGUCUGCGGGAAAUUGGGGCAAAAAUCGCGUGAGACUUUCGUUGCGUCGUGUGCAAGGUGACGGCCAUGUUGUGACGCAAUUAGUGCACGACGGUCGCCCGCGUUCGCGGUCCCCGUCUCCGCUCGAUCUCGUCGCGUUCCUCUCGUCGGUCGAGUGCGAGUUUCCCCGCGGGAGGCAUCGCCGGGGAUGCCGAACCGAGCCAUUAAUCGGCGUUCUAAGUGGUCGCGUCUCUCGCGUCGUUGACAUUUCUGAUUGUGUCGAGCGCAUGUGUGCGAGUGUGUGCGAGUGCAACUCGGAUUACUAGGAAAACGACUCAUCAGCUGGUAAGCGAUUAUGGCCGUGUGAUGCAGCGAAACUUGACGCGACAUCAAUCAGUGAGUGCUUCUACACAAGCAUAGACAGAUAGACCGUUCAAAUCACGUUCACCCUGCGUCAAAAUCGACAUCGUAAGGCGGACGUGAGUUUGUGGUGAGUGUAAAGUUUUGCGCAAAUAAAACGUAGCUCGACUGCUCGUUAGCCGCAUGUCGAAUGUAUUUGCCUUACAACGAGUGAAACGUGCGACUUGGAUGACGAUGUCAGCGGAUUUUGUCUCGCGCUGGUUUACGAUUCACCCGGGGGUAAAUUUCUACGGCGUAGCCCCCGUAUUUUAAAAUCCAGAACGCGCGCGGAGUCCGAGCGAUCGCGCGGAAGGAAAACGGGAAUUUACUCGCGGAGCGAUCGUGUGCGUUGAUGCGGAUGCCCCGUGAUCUGAAAUCCUUUCUCAAUAGCGGAGGACGUGUAUCCAUUUGCCAUAUUCACGCGCGACGUGAAUUUAUAUUCUUUAACUUGUAUUACUCCGUGAAUAUUCUUCGUAAUACAGAAGAAAAGGUGGAUAUUGUGACACUCCGUAUUUAAAUUUCGUACAAUAACUUUGUUUAAUAAUCAGUAUUUUAAAAUCACUCGAACGAUUAUAUUCGCGUUGAUCAAUUGAUCAACUAGACUUGAGCCACAAUAUACCAUUUUUUUUUUUUCUAUAUUAUAAUAUUUUGAGAAAUAUCGCGUGGGCGCGAUCGGUCACCCCGUUUGACAAUUUAGUGACGUCGAUUACAGUUAUACGACACGAACGGGCGAGAUAUUUGACAAAUGCAUAUUGCAUAAAAAAAAAAAAAAAAA